GUGUGUUCCAGGUAAAUCCGGUUCACUUUAACACUGAGGCGUGACGACGAGGCACUACGGUGCUGAAGCAACAAAUGCCCUGCUUCCAGGAAAAGCCUCUAAGCAUCAGGUAACAUCAAAUCGUACCCCAAACCGACACAGGUGGUCAGGUAGAGAAUACCAAGGCGCUUGAGAGAACUCGGGUGAAGGAACUAGGCAAAAUGGUGCCGUAACUUCGGGAGAAGGCACGCUGACACGUAGGUGAAGUGAUUUACUCAUGGAGCUGAAGUCAGUCGAAGAUACCAGCUGGCUGCAACUGUUUAUUAAAAACACAGCACUGUGCAAACACGAAAGUGGACGUAUACGGUGUGACGCCUGCCCGGUGCCGGAAGGUUAAUUGAUGGGGUCAGCGCAAGCGAAGCUCCUGAUCGAAGCCCCGGUAAACGGCGGCCGUAACUAUAACGGUCCUAAGGUAGCGAAAUUCCUUGUCGGGUAAGUUCCGACCUGCACGAAUGGCGUAAUGAUGGCCAGGCUGUCUCCACCCGAGACUCAGUGAAAUUGAACUCGCUGUGAAGAUGCAGUGUACCCGCGGCAAGACGGAAAGACCCCGUGAACCUUUACUAUAGCUUGACACUGAACAUUGAGCCUUGAUGUGUAGGAUAGGUGGGAGGCUUUGAAGUGUGGACGCCAGUCUGCAUGGAGCCGACCUUGAAAUACCACCCUUUAAUGUUUGAUGUUCUAACGUGGACCCGUUACCCGGGUUGCGGACAGUGUCUGGUGGGUAGUUUGACUGGGGCGGUCUCCUCCUAAAGAGUAACGGAGGAGCACGAAGGUUGGCUAAUCCUGGUCGGACAUCAGGAGGUUAGUGCAAUGGCAUAAGCCAGCUUGACUGCGAGCGUGACGGCGCGAGCAGGUGCGAAAGCAGGUCAUAGUGAUCCGGUGGUUCUGAAUGGAAGGGCCAUCGCUCAACGGAUAAAAGGUACUCCGGGGAUAACAGGCUGAUACCGCCCAAGAGUUCAUAUCGACGGCGGUGUUUGGCACCUCGAUGUCGGCUCAUCACAUCCUGGGGCUGAAGUAGGUCCCAAGGGUAUGGCUGUUCGCCAUUUAAAGUGGUACGCGAGCUGGGUUUAGAACGUCGUGAGACAGUUCGGUCCCUAUCUGCCGUGGGCGCUGGAGAACUGAGGGGGGCUGCUCCUAGUACGAGAGGACCGGAGUGGACGCAUCACUGGUGUUCGGGUUGUCAUGCCAAUGGCACUGCCCGGUAGCUAAAUGCGGAAGAGAUAAGUGCUGAAAGCAUCUAAGCACGAAACUUGCCCCGAGAUGAGUUCUCCCUGAGACUUAAAGUCUCCUGAAGGAACGUUGAAGACGACGACGUUG
RNAcentral lists this ribosomal RNA (1356 nucleotides) under Salmonella enterica subsp. enterica serovar Enteritidis. RNAcentral's name for it is "partial 23S ribosomal RNA". It matches the Rfam family "Bacterial large subunit ribosomal RNA", at positions 1525 to 2855 of the family's 2925-position model. The record is from RNAcentral. Lineage: Bacteria; Pseudomonadati; Pseudomonadota; Gammaproteobacteria; Enterobacterales; Enterobacteriaceae.